Molecule: ribosomal RNA, 482 nt
Filed under: uncultured bacterium
Lineage: Bacteria
Description: partial 16S ribosomal RNA
Rfam family: Bacterial small subunit ribosomal RNA
Source: RNAcentral
GACGAACGCUGGCGGCGUGCUUAACACAUGCAAGUCGAACGAUGAAGAAGAGACACGCGAACUUCGGUUCAAAUUUCACUUCGGAUUAGUGGCAGACGGGUGAGUAACGCGUGAGCAACCUACCUCUUACAAAGGGAUAGCCUCGGGAAACCGUGAUUAAUACCAUAUGACACAUUCAUAAGGCAUCUUAAGAAUGUUAAAGCUACGGCGGUAAGAGAUGGGCUCGCGUCCCAUUAGCUAGUUGGUGAGGUAACGGCCCACCAAGGCGACGAUGGGUAACCGGCCUGAGAGGGGGAACGGUCACAUUGGAACUGAGACACGGUCCAAACUCCUACGGGAGGCAGCAGUGGGGAAUAUUGCACAAUGGAGGGAACUCUGAUGCAGCGACGCCGCGUGAGCGAUGAAGGAAUUCGUUUCGUAAAGCUCUGUUCUAUGGGAAGAAAAGGACUGUACCAUAGGAGAAAGCCCCGGCUAAAUACGUG